RNAcentral lists this ribosomal RNA (524 nucleotides) under Didymella pinodes (pea foot rot fungus). RNAcentral's name for it is "eukaryotic LSU rRNA". The stretch from base 171 to 324 matches the Rfam family "5.8S ribosomal RNA". The record is from RNAcentral. Lineage: Eukaryota; Fungi; Ascomycota; Dothideomycetes; Pleosporales; Didymellaceae.
UUUGUAGGUGAACCUGCUGGAAGGAUCAUUACCUAGAGUUGUAGGCUUUGCCUGCUAUCUCUUACCCAUGUCUUUUGAGUACCUUCGUUUCCUCGGCGGGUUCGCCCGCCGAUUGGACAAUUUAAACCAUUUGCAGUUGCAAUCAGCGUCUGAAAAAACAUAAUAGUUACAACUUUCAACAACGGAUCUCUUGGUUCUGGCAUCGAUGAAGAACGCAGCGAAAUGCGAUAAGUAGUGUGAAUUGCAGAAUUCAGUGAAUCAUCGAAUCUUUGAACGCACAUUGCGCCCCUUGGUAUUCCAUGGGGCAUGCCUGUUCGAGCGUCAUUUGUACCUUCAAGCUCUGCUUGGUGUUGGGUGUUUGUCUCGCCUCUGCGCGUAGACUCGCCUCAAAACAAUUGGCAGCCGGCGUAUUGAUUUCGGAGCGCAGUACAUCUCGCGCUUUGCAUUCAGAACGACGACGUCCAAAAGUACAUUUUUACACUCUUGACCUCGGAUCAGGUAGGGAUACCCGCUGAACUUAAGCA